AUCGCUUCUCGGCCUUUUGGCUAAGAUCAAGUGUAGUAUCUGUUCUUUUCAGUUUAAUAUCUGAUACGUCCCCUACCCGGGGACCAUAUAUUAAAUAGAUUUUUGGAACAGGGAGAUGGAAUAGGGGCUUGCUCCGUCCACUCCACGCAUCGACCUGGUAUUGCAGUAUCUCCAGGAACGGUGCACUCCCU
Molecule: small nuclear RNA, 191 nt
Filed under: Echeneis naucrates (live sharksucker)
Lineage: Eukaryota; Metazoa; Chordata; Actinopteri; Carangiformes; Echeneidae
Description: U2 spliceosomal RNA (ENSENLG00000004180.1)
Rfam family: U2 spliceosomal RNA
About the family: U2 is a small nuclear RNA (snRNA) component of the spliceosome (involved in pre-mRNA splicing). Complementary binding between U2 snRNA (in an area lying towards the 5' end but 3' to hairpin I) and the branchpoint sequence (BPS) of the intron results the bulging out of an unpaired adenosine, on the BPS, which initiates a nucleophilic attack at the intronic 5' splice site, thus starting the first of two transesterification reactions that mediate splicing.
Source: Rfam by way of RNAcentral